GAUGAACGCUGGCGGCGUGCUUAACACAUGCAAGUCGAACGAACAGACGAGUUGCUUGUUCCUCGGACGGUAGCGGCGGACAGGUGAGUAACACGUGGAUAACAUACCUAUAAGACUGGGAUAACAUCGGGAAACCGGAGCUAAUACCGGAUAAUAUAUUGAACCGCAUGGUUCAUGGGUGAGAGACGGAUUUGCUGUCACUUAUAGAUGGAUCCGCGGCGGAUUAGCUAGUUGGUGGGGUAAUGGCUUACCAAGGCAACGAUGGGUAGCCGACCUGAGAGGGUGAUCGGCCACCACAGAACGGAGGAGACGCCCAGCCGCCUACGGGGGGAGGCAGUAGGGAAUCUUACGGAAUAGGCGGAAGCCUGACGGAGCAGCGCCGCGGGGGUGGUGAAGGUCGUCGGCUCGUUAAGCUCCUUUUUUAGGGAAGAACAAAUGUGUACGUAACUGUGCGCGGCUUGACGGUACCUAAUCAGGAAGCCACGGCUAACUACGUG
Molecule: ribosomal RNA, 497 nt
Filed under: uncultured bacterium
Lineage: Bacteria
Description: partial 16S ribosomal RNA
Rfam family: Bacterial small subunit ribosomal RNA
Source: RNAcentral